UGUUGUGGCGACAAUAAAAAAAAACGUUCAUAUUCAGAAUGAAAGGGUAGUUUCUUUCUCUUAACUAUUUCAAUAUUCUUUGAGAAACAUCUUGAAAGAAUAGCAUAUGUAUUUGCUUUUUGAGUUCUUUAUUCACAAUAUCAAAUCUAAUUUUCAGUAAUAAGUUACAGCUAGGUAUUGACACAUUAAGUAGGACCUACUUUGAUUGCACACUAACCUUGACCAUUCUAGUGCCAUUGUAGCUUUAUCUGAUGGCUUACUUUGAUUGCACACUAAUUGAUGACCUUUUCUUUACUAUUGAGCGUGAACAGGAAGGGCUAUCGUCAGUGCUGGCCAUGAGGCGGCAGCAAGUACAUGGCAAGGUCAGUUGAAGAGAGUGGAGGAAGAGGACAAGGAUGCAGAGUAAUGCGUUACAGCUAGUGGUUGCUAAUUCUUGUGCUAGAUUGGCCACUGCUUCCUCCCCACGCACGAAGCCGACGCAGACCCGCCCGCUUCAUCAGGCUCUGUAUUUCAAACCAAUCUUGCAAACUUUUGUUCACAUCUUAGAUUGCUUUUCAUGUUUUAGUGGUUGGAGGUCAGUACUACUAAUAUGGCCCUUGCAGGCAAACAAGAUGAAUCUGUCUAAAUGAUCUUUCAUCAGUUUGUUCGUCAAUACUGAUCUCUUAGCUGAAGUCAAUACCCCCAUAUACAAUCUCUUAUUGUUGAUGAUGAUGAUGAUGAUGAAGAAGACCUUCGUUCUCCACCUUCAGAUGAAAGAGCAUUCUUUGUACCAGAGACUACUGUCGUUCAACUCUUUGAGCCUGAAGUGCUAAUUAGUGAGUCAGUGAGUAUGGAAGUUCUCAUUGAAGUUCUUUGCACCUCUAAUUAGCAGCCUGAAGUUCUUUGACGAAAUGGGUGAAGACGGAAGUGAGUAUAGCUACUUAGAUUGCUCAGUUUUCCCUUGCUUAUUGCAUUCCGUAAAUUAUAUGAUAAUUAACAUUAUAUUUUGAUAAAAUUGAGAAAUAACAAUGAUGCAUGCGUUCGAAACAAGAGGGAAAAUAAUAGCAGAACACUAAACAAUUCAAAUGUUGCAAAACCAGAACUUACUCACCAUGUUGAAAGAGAUCCGAUCGGGAUGCUAGAAUUUGAACCUCGCAAGAGCCAUCGAUGAGGAAAACAAACCAACAAAAACCAAAUUCAAAUUUGGAAGCCAAGCCCCAUGGUAUGAUCAGCAAGCAAUCCAAACCCUCGAGUUCUAAUUUUCGAUUUUUGAGACGAACCAAAGCAGCUCCUCAACAGAAAGCAAGGCUCCAUGCACAUCUUUCAUAUGUUUGUAUAGUAGACUUAUUGGUCUAUAGUUUUCUGAAAUUGAUUUAUGUUAGUGCCUCCUAUAUGUUUGGAAACAGUCGUUACUUCUAUAUGUCAUUGGCAUGCCUUAUGUUCACUCAAAAUUCCAUCAAAGAAACUUCUCUGCAUAAAGUUUUAUCCUGUUUAAACAUAGCAUCGACUCCUCUAUUCAGAACAAUAAGAGAAGUGAAUAACACAAUAACUAUAUAGAAGGAAAGAGGAGGGAGUUAGGCUCACCAUGUGUUCAGUUCUAUUAUAGUUUUUAUUCUGAAACAUUUGUUACAUUGUCUCCUAUACAUUAGGAAAAAUAACUUUUUAUAUUACUUAUUAAUAGGGCUUUCGUUCAAUUAAAAAUUUAAAAUCCAAACAAAGAAACUUUCCUGCAUAACCUCUUACCCUAUUUAAACAUGGCAUAGACUCAUUCAGUCUUAUAAACAGUUUUCGAGCGAACAAUAUAAGUUAACAAUAUAAGAGAAGUGAUUGAUAACUUGCUAAAAGGAAUGAUAUGUGAAAGAUGCCAAUAUGAUACCUGUGUGUAGCUGAGGAAAUGGUUGUACGACUCCAAAGUGAUAAUGGUUGGAUACAGUCCGUAGAUUGAAAAAUGAGACUCCAAAGUGCUAAUUAGUGAGUCAUUAGCAGCCAAAACAGAGAAGCAAAAUUAGAAACAGAUCAUGCCCAGGAUCGAAUCGAAGAGCAUGUAGAGUUCGAUGCAUACAUUGCUACAAUUAUGCUAGGUAGGUUGAGCUUCUGGUCCUCAAGCUAAAGGCCGACGUAAGUCUCGGUGCGGAGAGAUCAGGGGAUGCGCCUAUACCGUCCUCAAGUUUUUCCCCGAAACAGACUGAAUGUGAGAUUUAUCAACAACCAACAUUUUCUCUUUGUCACUGUAAAUGCAGGUAUGUCCCUGGUUAGUAUCUUUUGACAAGCAGGAUGGCUUGUAACUUGUGGAGUGAGCUGAACAAAUGCGUGGAAGAUCAUAUAUAAGGUUAAGAAGAACGUAUAAAGUUUGUGGAGUGCAGCCAGAAAAGAAUUUUGAUGGAGUUGCAUCUUAUUACAUUUCAGAAUAACGGCAUAGCUAUAGUUUUUGUACAUAUUUUUUUAUAUCUAUUAUGUUUAAUGUGCGGUAAAAGAAUUUUGAGACCCGUGGCAACGCACAUGCAUUUAACUAUUGAGAUAAACAGGUAAACUUAUCAUCCAUAGUAAUAUUUAAAAAUAGAAUUGUAUAAAGUCCAGGAAGAAAUACAAUUGUAUAAAGUACAGGAAGC
Molecule: non-coding RNA, 2588 nt
Organism: Lolium perenne
Lineage: Eukaryota; Viridiplantae; Streptophyta; Magnoliopsida; Poales; Poaceae
Source: RefSeq, a predicted model, not a curated record